AGCAGUAGCCGCGGUAACACAGAGGGUGCGAGCGUUAAUCGGAUUUACUGGGCGUAAAGCGUGCGUAGGCGGCUUUUUAAGUCGGAUGUGAAAUCCCUGAGCUUAACUUAGGAAUUGCAUUCGAUACUGGGAAGCUAGAGUAUGGGAGAGGAUGGUAGAAUUCCAGGUGUAACGGUGAAAUGCGUAGAGAUCUGGAGGAAUACCGAUGGCGAAGGCAGCCAUCUGGCCUAAUACUGACGCUGAGGUACGAAAGCAUGGGGAGCAAACAGGAUUAGAUACCCCAGUAGUCCCUGUCUCUUAUAC
Molecule: ribosomal RNA, 303 nt
Filed under: uncultured bacterium
Lineage: Bacteria
Description: partial 16S ribosomal RNA
Rfam family: Bacterial small subunit ribosomal RNA
Source: RNAcentral